Molecule: transfer RNA, 72 nt
Filed under: Camelus bactrianus (Bactrian camel)
Lineage: Eukaryota; Metazoa; Chordata; Mammalia; Artiodactyla; Camelidae
Also listed under: 2 other names
Rfam family: tRNA
About the family: Transfer RNA (tRNA) molecules are approximately 80 nucleotides in length. Their secondary structure includes four short double-helical elements and three loops (D, anti-codon, and T loops). Further hydrogen bonds mediate the characteristic L-shaped molecular structure. tRNAs have two regions of fundamental functional importance: the anti-codon, which is responsible for specific mRNA codon recognition, and the 3' end, to which the tRNAs corresponding amino acid is attached (by aminoacyl-tRNA synthetases). tRNAs cope with the degeneracy of the genetic code in two manners: having more than one tRNA (with a specific anti-codon) for a particular amino acid; and 'wobble' base-pairing, i.e. permitting non-standard base-pairing at the 3rd anti-codon position.
Source: Rfam by way of RNAcentral
GAGGGUAUAGCUCAGUGGUAGAGCUCAUGCUUAGCAUGCACGAGGUCCUGGGUUCAAUCCCCAGUACCUCCA